GUCCCUAUAGUUCAAUGGAAAGAACAGGAGCCUCCGGAGCUCCAGAUGCAGGUUCGAGUCCUGCUAGGGACA
RNAcentral lists this transfer RNA (72 nucleotides) under archaeon. RNAcentral describes it as "tRNA-Arg". It matches the Rfam family "tRNA". Rfam says of the family: Transfer RNA (tRNA) molecules are approximately 80 nucleotides in length. Their secondary structure includes four short double-helical elements and three loops (D, anti-codon, and T loops). Further hydrogen bonds mediate the characteristic L-shaped molecular structure. tRNAs have two regions of fundamental functional importance: the anti-codon, which is responsible for specific mRNA codon recognition, and the 3' end, to which the tRNAs corresponding amino acid is attached (by aminoacyl-tRNA synthetases). tRNAs cope with the degeneracy of the genetic code in two manners: having more than one tRNA (with a specific anti-codon) for a particular amino acid; and 'wobble' base-pairing, i.e. permitting non-standard base-pairing at the 3rd anti-codon position. The record is from RNAcentral.